RNAcentral lists this transfer RNA (74 nucleotides) under Elstera litoralis. RNAcentral describes it as "tRNA-Cys". It matches the Rfam family "tRNA". From Rfam's summary of the family: Transfer RNA (tRNA) molecules are approximately 80 nucleotides in length. Lineage: Bacteria; Pseudomonadati; Pseudomonadota; Alphaproteobacteria; Rhodospirillales; Rhodospirillaceae. RNAcentral also lists the same sequence under 3 other names. The record is from RNAcentral.
GGCCGGGUGGCAGAGUGGUCAUGCAGGGGACUGCAAAUCCCCGUACAGCGGUUCGAUUCCGCUCUCGGCCUCCA